Molecule: transfer RNA, 72 nt
Filed under: Ictidomys tridecemlineatus (thirteen-lined ground squirrel)
Lineage: Eukaryota; Metazoa; Chordata; Mammalia; Rodentia; Sciuridae
Also listed under: 1 other name
Description: Spermophilus tridecemlineatus (thirteen-lined ground squirrel) tRNA
Rfam family: tRNA
About the family: Transfer RNA (tRNA) molecules are approximately 80 nucleotides in length. Their secondary structure includes four short double-helical elements and three loops (D, anti-codon, and T loops).
Source: Rfam by way of RNAcentral
GGGGAUGUAGCUCAAUAGCAGAGCACUUGCCUGGCAUGCCUGAGGCCCUGGGUUCAAUCCCUGGCACUACCU